GGCCGCAGGGGGACACCCAGGAGCUGCAGGCAGCAGGGGUACCCUGCAGACUGCAGCUGCUGCAGGUGGCUCCUAGCCCCUGUGCAGCUGCCCCUCUUCAG
Molecule: long non-coding RNA, 101 nt
Organism: Gopherus evgoodei (Goodes thornscrub tortoise)
Lineage: Eukaryota; Metazoa; Chordata; Testudines; Testudinidae
Exons: 3
Source: RefSeq, a predicted model, not a curated record